GCCCAACCUGUACUGGCAUUCCCAUACCAAAGUCAACUCUCUCUAACCCUAGCCUUGACCAUUGAGACGUGAUCAACACCCCUACUGAGUCUGGACUCGCUCUUUUCUGACUCACAGAUUCGAUCACCGAUCUCACGCAUUCGUUGUCCACUCUUUCUUUUGCUCUCUUUAUCAACGUUGAUGCGUACCCUAUACCCUUCUCUGUUAAAUCUUUAACGCUUGUUUGUGCACAGCCAAGAACGAAGGCGUUGCCAUAGUAUCCACUUGGUAGACUCGGCUUGACUCGG
RNAcentral lists this unclassified non-coding RNA (287 nucleotides) under Hevea brasiliensis (rubber tree). The record is from RNAcentral. Lineage: Eukaryota; Viridiplantae; Streptophyta; Magnoliopsida; Malpighiales; Euphorbiaceae.